RNAcentral lists this ribosomal RNA (468 nucleotides) under uncultured bacterium. RNAcentral's name for it is "partial 16S ribosomal RNA". It matches the Rfam family "Bacterial small subunit ribosomal RNA", at positions 28 to 507 of the family's 1533-position model. The record is from RNAcentral.
GACGAACGCUGGCGGCGUGCUUAACACAUGCGAGUCGAACGGAAAGGCCCUGCUUUUGUGGGGUGCUCGAGUGGCGAACGGGUGAGUAACACGUGAGUAACCUGCCCUUGACUUUGGGAUAACUUCAGGAAACUGGGGCUAAUACCGGAUAGGAGCUCCUGCUGCAUGGUGGGGGUUGGAAAGUUUCGGCGGGUGGGGAUGGACGGGCGGCUUAUCAGCUUGUUGGUGGGGUAGUGGCUUACCAAGGCUUUGACGGGUAGCCGGCAUGAGAGGGUGACCGGGCACAUUGGGACUACGAGACGGCCCAGACGGCUACGGGAGGCAGCAGUGGGGAAUAUUGCACAGUGGGCGGACGCCUGAUGCAGCAACGCCGCGGGCGGGAUGACGGCCUUCGGGGUGUAAACCGCUUUCGCCUGUGACGAAGCGUGAGUGACGGUAAUGGGUAAAGAAGCACCGGCUAACUACGUG